AUUUUGCUCAGGAUUUUGGAGGGGAAAAAAAUGGGAAUUUGAGGCAGGGAAAAUUUUUUCCAAUCUCACAUUUUGUUCAGGAUUUUGGAGGAGAAAAUUGGGGGAAAAAAUGGGAAUUUGAGGCAAGGAAAAUUUUUUCCAACCUCACAUUUUGCUCAGGAUUUUGGAGGGGAAAAUUGGGGGAAAAUUGGGGUGAAAUCAGGAAAUUGGAGGAUUUUCCCACCUCACAUUUUGUGUUUCCUGAUCACAAUUUCAGAGGGGAAAAUUGGGGUAAAAUCAGGAAAUUUGAGGCAGGAAAAGGGGGAGUUUUCCCACCUCACAUUUUGCAUUUCCCGAGCACAAUUUCAGAGGUGAAAAUCGGGCUGAAAUCGGGGUAAAAUCAGGAAAUCCGAGGCAGCAAGGGGGCGCUUUUCCCACCUCACAUCUCGUGUACCCGAGCACAAUUUCAGAGGUGGAAAUCGCGGUAAAAUCGGGCUGAAAUCGGGGUAAAAUCAGGAAAUUUGAGGCAGGAAAAGGGGGAGUUUUCCCACCUCACAUCUUGU
This 542-nucleotide long non-coding RNA is filed under the name Zonotrichia albicollis (white-throated sparrow). RNAcentral describes it as "lncRNA (ENSZALG00000001932.1)". The record is from RNAcentral. Lineage: Eukaryota; Metazoa; Chordata; Aves; Passeriformes; Passerellidae.